GACGUAGGGCGCGAGCGUUGUCCGGAUUUAUUGGGCGUAAAGAGCUCGUAGGCGGCUUGUCGCGUCGGCUGUGAAAACCCGCGGCUCAACUGUGGGCGGGCAGCUGAUACGGGCAGGCUGGAGUUCGGUAGGGGAGACUGGAAUUCCUGGUGUAGCGGUGAAAUGCGCAGAUAUCAGGAGGAACACCGGUGGCGAAAGCGCUCAUCUGGCCCGAUACUGACGCUGAAGCACGAAAGCUAGGGGAGCAAACGGG
Molecule: ribosomal RNA, 253 nt
Filed under: uncultured bacterium
Lineage: Bacteria
Description: partial 16S ribosomal RNA
Rfam family: Bacterial small subunit ribosomal RNA
Source: RNAcentral